Non-coding RNA from Notechis scutatus (mainland tiger snake), 3636 nucleotides. The record is from RefSeq and is a predicted model, not a curated record. NCBI's taxonomy places the organism in Eukaryota, Metazoa, Chordata, Lepidosauria, Squamata, Elapidae.
CGGGGCUCCCGCGCGAGGGUCCUUGGGUCGAAACCCGUUCCGCUCCGGCGCCGAGACUAGGCUCGAGAGGGGCUCCCGGGCCGCCCCGCGACGGUCUCCGCCUUUCCGCUCCCGGAAGCCCCCCCGCCGCGAAGCUCCCCGGCCGGCCGGGAGGAGCUUCCGGGGUUGCUAAGUAACGGGCGCCCGCUUCCUGCCUGGCGCGGGUCGGCCUUCCCCGCUGUUCCUCCGGUGCCCGCGGGAGACGAGAGGGAGCGGCCAUGGCGGCUGGCGGGCCGCGCGGAUGGGUGCUAGCGCUGCUAGUUGCCCAGGUCUCCGGCGAGUACGGCGUGGCCCGCGUCUUCCCGGAGAAGGGCGGCGGCGGCGGCGGCGGCGGCGGGAAGGACUACUGCAUCCUCUUCAACUCGCAGUGGGCCCACCUGCCGCACGACCUAGGCAAGGCGUCUCUCCUGGCGCUGCAGGAUCAGACGGUGUCGGCCCUGUGCGCGGCCUCCGAGGUGCCCGAGGGCGGCUUCGGCAACGCGGUGCCCAUGGUGAUGCGGGGCAACUGCACCUUCUACGAGAAGGUCCGCCUCGCGCAGGUGAACGGCGCCCGGGGGCUGCUGAUCGUCAGCAAGGAGAGGCUGGUGCCCCCCGCCGGUAACAGGAGUCAGUAUGAGGAAAUUGAUAUCCCAGUGGCCCUGCUCAGCUAUGCAGAUAUGCUGGACAUAGGACAGAGCUUUGGUCGCUCGGCCAAGGUGGCCAUGUACGCACCCAGCGAGCCCGUUCUAGACUACAACAUGGUGAUCAUCUUUGUGAUGGCGGUGGGCACGGUGGCCGUUGGCGGAUACUGGGCCGGGAGCAGAGACGUGAAAAAGCGCUACAUGAAACACAAGCGGGACGACGGGGCUGAGAAGCAAGAGGACGAGACGGUGGACGUCACUCCGGUCAUGAUCGGUGUCUUUGUGGUCAUGUGUUGCUCUAUGCUGGUCCUUCUCUAUUACUUCUACGACCAACUAGUGUACGUCAUCAUUGGGAUUUUCUGCCUGGCCGCUUCCAUUGGCCUCUACAGUUGCCUUUCCCCAUUUGUCCGGAGGUUCCCCCUCGGGAAGUGCCGCCUUCCAAGUAACAACUGGCCUUAUCUCCACAAACGGCCCCAAGUCCGGAUGCUCCUCCUCGCGGCCUUCUGUGUUGCUGUCAGCCUGGUCUGGGGUCUCUUCCGAAACGAAGACCAGUGGGCCUGGAUCCUCCAAGACGCUCUGGGGAUUGCCUUCUGCCUCUACAUGCUGAAAACCAUCCGCUUGCCAACAUUCAAGGGCUGCACUUUGCUCCUCCUGGUCCUCUUCGUGUAUGACGUCUUUUUCGUCUUCAUCACUCCAUACCUAACCAAGACAGGGGAGAGCAUCAUGGUGGAAGUGGCCGCUGGACCGACUGACUCGUCCACUCGUGAAAAGCUCCCCAUGGUGCUCAAAGUCCCCCGGCUCAACUUCUCCCCACUGGCCCUCUGUGACAGGCCCUUCUCUCUCCUGGGAUUUGGGGACAUCUUGGUACCAGGUCUGCUGGUGGCCUAUUGCCACAGGUUUGAUAUCCAAGUCCAGUCAUCCAGAGUGUACUUUGUAGCUUGCACCAUAGGUUACGGCAUCGGCCUCCUGGCAACCUUUGCGGCCCUGGCCUGGAUGCGGAAGGGCCAGCCGGCCCUCCUCUACCUGGUGCCCUGCACGCUGCUCACCAGCCUCCUCGUGGCCCUGUGGCGCCGGGAGCUGGCCACGUUCUGGACGGGCAGCGGCUUUGCGAAAGAGCUACCUCAUCCUCCCUUAGUCGUCUCCCCCGUCAGCUGCCCUGCUCCCCCGAAAGCGGGGGGUCCUCCAGCAUCCCACCCAGAGGCCGAUGGAGAAGCAGCCGCCUCCCCUGUCCCCCCAGGAGAGCCCGCCGGCACUCCCAUGGGCCCCGAGGAGGAGGAGGAGGAGGAAGAGCAGGAGCCACGCGCCCCUUUCCUGGAGGUGGAGCAAGAGGCGAAGGAAGAGGAGGAGACGGACCCUGCUGAGCCCCAGCCUGAGCAGCCGCCGGCCCAGCAGCCCCAGGGAGAGGCGCCCGGUGACCCUCUGAAGGACGACGCUCCAGGACAGACGAGCCCCCUCAGCCGAGCAUAGUCUGGCUAGACUCCCUCUCACCCCCGCCCACUUUUCUUCCGGUCCCUCCCCCCCUCCCCCAGUGCAGCUGAGGACUGGUUUGGUCCCCUGUGCAUUUCGCUCAGAGGCACGAUGUCAAUUCUUGAACUGUUAGGAGACUCCCAGAUUGCACUUUGGAGGGGCGGCCGCCUGCGUUUCAUACCAAAUCCCCUUCCGUUUGGAAUAUGGUGCUUUUACGAAGGUUCAAAUAGAAUUUCAGCAACUAUUUAAAAGACAAAUCAGCAAGCAGAUGCCUUGCCUUUCCCCGUUUUAGUCUACUAGCAUUAAUGUCUUUUUUAAAAAAAACAAAAACCUGUAGGCAGCAUUUGCACUUGUCUGGCCAUGAUAAAUCGCUUCAGCAUAACUAGGGCUCCAGCGGUUUCCUCUUUUUAAAACUCCCCUCUCCGUGGAAGACGCUGCGGUGCUCGUCCUUCCCAGAAAGGCCACCCAGUCUUCAAGGAAUGAGCCGGUCUCAAAAAACAACAUCCCCACUCUGUCCCCGCAGGCUUUUAGUCCCGUCUGUCUUUUCCGGGGGCUCGUGUGCUGGAAGGAAGGGGUGUCGGGGCCUGCAGACUGACUCCUUGGGGCACGGCACCCCAAAAUGCUGGCCUCAGGAGGAGCUUAAGAGCCCAGCAUUUCCUAGCUCCCUGGGCUGUCACUUCUGGCCACCAAGGCCAGGCCAGGUCGUUUUCCACGACCGCAGCUCUUCGUGGAAGUCGGUCCUGGCCCUGCCCGGCCUGUGGCUGCCUCAAGGCCACUUCCAGGGAACAAGGCCAUGCGAGAGGUAAGAAGUCUUCCUGCAAAGUGACUGCCCGAGCCCUGGAGGGGGAGGCAACGGACUGGGGUUGGUGGGCCCCUUCUCUUCUUCUGGCCCAGCUGGGACUCACGGAGGAGGAGGAGGAGGCUCCGACAGGCAGUUUGGGAAAGGAAGCGGCUGCAGCUCUCCCCCCCAGCCCUCCUUUGGGGGGGGGGCACACCCAGUGAGGGCUGGUGGGUGGGGGAACCUACCUGCAGCCUUCCAGGGACAACAGUCUUAACACGGGGAGUGCCGGGCCCCCCUUCAGCUUCUCCUCCUUGGCAUCUGGGCCGCCAGAGGCUCCUCUGUGUUGUCUUUGUGUUUCAGCGUAGUGUGUUUGCAAUUUUUUUGUUCUCUGGGCUGCAAGAAGUAGCUUUACAAGCCUGCGCAUUCAAGGUUUACUGGCUUCUGCUGGCCGGUCCCCGUGCUCUUGGCUCUCAACCGAGGAGGGGGCACGAGGGCUGUUUCAGGGAGGUUUGUCCCGAUUCCUUGGAGCAACCGGGGGUGUGUGGGUGUGUGGGUGUAUGUGUCAGUGGGCCUGGCUCUCUCCCUCUCUCGUGCAGAACGACAGGCACUUGUUUAGACACUCUAUGGGAUUUUGCCUUAAUUUAAGCCAUUUUAUAAAGAACGUACAUGGAAUUUUUAUUUUACUGAAGCAGGUAAAACAAUAAACUUGAUGAAACUUGAGAUGCUCAU